RNAcentral lists this long non-coding RNA (295 nucleotides) under Homo sapiens (human). RNAcentral describes it as "non-protein coding lnc-CMYA5-1:2". The record is from RNAcentral. Lineage: Eukaryota; Metazoa; Chordata; Mammalia; Primates; Hominidae.
ACUCGCAUGCAUGACACAGGAAGCCCACGGGACACUUCCCCAGCACGCCCCGCUUCCUCUGCACUCCUGGAAGGAAGACCUGUUCUUGCUUCUUCCGUACUCUCAGGAUCUGGCACAGAACCCGACAAAGGGAAAUAUUUAAUGAACUAUGGCGUAGGCCUGGCCCUGAACGACACCCUGGGGACCCAGCAGCAGCAAGGUGCAGCUUCUGCCCUCAGCAACCUCACGGUCUAAUGGACGCGGCACAGUGGGCAGGAAGUGACACCAAAGAGCAUCAGGAUUAGGAAGUCUGUUC